AACCCAACAGCUAGCCCACCUACCAACCUAACAACUAACUAUAAAUAAACCCUAAUACCCCAAACCUAAAAUAAACAAACCAUUUUUCCGUCCUAGUAUGUGCGACAGAAAAGAAACUAUGCGAGCGAUAGAGACAGUACCGCAAGGGAAAGCUGAAAAAGAAAUGAAAUAAACCAUUCAAGUCAAAAAAAGCAGAGAUUAACACUCGUACCUUUUGCAUCAUGUUUUAGCCAGUACUACUCAAGCAAAGAGCCCUUUAGUUUGAUACCCCGAAACUGGACGAGCUACUCCAAGACAGCCCAUAAUGGGGCCAACCCGUCUCUGUGGCAAAAGAGUGGGAAGAGCUUCGAGUAGAAGUGACAGACUUACCGAGCCCAGUUAUAGCUGGUUGCCUGAGAAAUGAAUUUAAGUUCAGCCCUCUAGAUUUCCAAAUCAAACCGAAUCAUCUAUGCACGUACCCGGAAAACUAGAAGAGUUAUUCAAAGAAGGUACAGCUCCUUUGAAAAAAGAAACAACUUUGAUAGGUGGGUAAAGAUCAUAAUAAACAAGGGUAGAUGUUUUAGUGGGCCUAAAAGCAGCCACCACAAUAGAAAGCGUUAAAGCUCAGACAUAGCUCUUACUUCAACCCCCAGAUAUUGAUACAUAAAUCUUACACCCCUAACCCGUAUCAGGCCUACCCAUGCAACCAUGUGAGAGAUCCUGCUAAUAUGAGUAAUAAGAACGUACCAGACGUUCUCCACGCACACGUGUACAUCAGAACGGACUAACCCACUGAUCCAUUACCGGACCCAAAAAAAGAGGGAACUGAGCAAACAAAGCAAUAAACCAGAAGAACACUCAACAAAUUUAACCGUUAACCCCACACUGGAGUGCAAACAAGGAAAGACUAAAAGAAUAAGAAGGAACUCGGCAAACACAAGCCUCGCCUGUUUACCAAAAACAUCGCCUCUUGCAAAAACAAAGCAUAAGAGGUCCCGCCUGCCCUGUGACUAUAUGUUUAACGGCCGCGGUAUUUUGACCGUGCAAAGGUAGCGCAAUCACUUGUCUUUUAAAUGAAGACCCGUAUGAAUGGCAUAACGAGGGCUUAACUGUCUCCUUUUUCCAGUCAAUGAAAUUGAUCUCCCCGUGCAGAAGCGGGGAUAUAACCAUAAGACGAGAAGACCCUGUGGAGCUUUAGACACAAGACAGACCAUAAAGAACAGUUAAAGACAAAAAACCAAACCCAAAUGGACUUUCUGCCUGAUUAUGUCUUUGGUUGGGGCGACCGCGGGGAAAAACAAAACCCCCACGUGGAAUGAGAGCACCCCUCUUACAACCGAGAGCUACAUCUCUAAGAAACAGUAUAUCUGACCAAAAAUGAUCCGACACUAGUCGAUCAACGAACCGAGUUACCCCAGGGAUAACAGCGCAAUCCCCUCCCAGAGCCCAUAUCGACGAGGGGGUUUACGACCUCGAUGUUGGAUCAGGACAUCCUAAUGGUGCAACCGCUAUUAAGGGUUCGUUUGUUCAACGAUUAAAGUCCUACGUGAUCUGAGUUCAGACCGGAGUAAUCCAGGUCAGUUUCUAUCUAUGCUAUGUUCUUUUCCAGUACGAAAGGACCGAAAAGAGAGGGCCCAUGCUAAAAGUAUGCCCUUCCCCCACUUGAUGAAAACAACUAAAACAAACAAGGGGGCAUAUCCCACAUAGCCCUCGAGAAUGGCAU
Molecule: ribosomal RNA, 1702 nt
Filed under: Sargocentron rubrum (redcoat)
Lineage: Eukaryota; Metazoa; Chordata; Actinopteri; Holocentriformes; Holocentridae
Description: 16S rRNA
Rfam family: Bacterial large subunit ribosomal RNA
Source: RNAcentral